UUGCUACUCCCUCCGUCCGGAAAUACUUGUCAUCAAAAUGAAUAAAAGAGGAUGUACCUAGAUGUAUUUUAGUCUAGAUACAUUCCUUUUUGUCCAUUUUGAUGACAAGUAUUUUCGGACGGAGGGAGUACUUC
This is a non-coding RNA of Triticum aestivum (bread wheat), 134 nucleotides long. The record is from Rfam. NCBI's taxonomy places the organism in Eukaryota, Viridiplantae, Streptophyta, Magnoliopsida, Poales, Poaceae.